UUGUUUUUCUUCAGGGGAUAAUAUAACUUACUGCAUGGUGGCAUUGAAGAAUGACAGAAAUAACAUACUUUUAAAGAUUUUUGUAAAGCAAUAUUAGGCGCUAUACAGGACUCCAGGUCCUCUUAUCGCCUUCUCACUUUGGAACGAAAUCCACGCUGUCGGUGGCAUCUGACUCUCAGACGACUUGCCUGUACGGGGCUCGAUCUCCCAGUCUCCGUCUCUGACCCUCUCCUCGGUGGAGGGAAACGGAUAAAGAAACUGACACACAAAGAAGUCACUGAUUUGCCUGAGAUCACGGAGCUGGAAGUUGAAGUUAGUUCUUCUCCAGACCCAUGCGGCUUU
Molecule: long non-coding RNA, 342 nt
Organism: Ailuropoda melanoleuca (giant panda)
Lineage: Eukaryota; Metazoa; Chordata; Mammalia; Carnivora; Ursidae
Exons: 3
Source: RefSeq, a predicted model, not a curated record